AGAGUUUGAUCCUGGCUCAGGAUGAACGCUAGCGGUGCGCCUAACACAUGCAAGUCGAGCGAUAUAGCGGCGAACGGGUGAGUAACACGUUGGAACCUGCCCCAGACUCAGGGAUAACACCGAGAAAUCGGUGCUAAUACCGGAUAGUCCCCCGUAUCUCAUUGCAUUCGAUACGUACACCUAACACCUAACACCUAACACCUGACAAAAAAGUCAGAUGUCAAAUGUCAGAUGUCAGAUGUACCGCAAUCGAGUGUAGCGAGAUGCGGUGGGUAAAGAUUUAUCGGUCUGGGAGGGGCCUGCGCAGUAUCAGCUUGUUGGUAGGGUAAUAGCCUACCAAGGCUACGACGCUUAACUGGUCUGAGAGGAUGAUCAGUCACAAUGGAACUGAGACACGGUCCAUACUCCUACGGGAGGCAGCAGUGGGGAAUCUUCCGCAAUGGGCGAAAGCCUGACGGAGCGACACCGCGUGAAGGAUGAAGGUCUUUUGAUUGUAAACUUCUUUUCUGGGGGAAUAAAUGAUGAAGGUACCCCAGGAAUAAGCACCGGCUAACUACGUGCCAGCAGCCGCGGUAAUACGUAGGGUGCAAGCGUUAUCCGGAAUUAUUGGGCGUAAAGCGUGCGCAGGCGGUUUAGCAAGUUUGAGAUUAAAUCUGGUCGCUCAACGAUCAAUACGUCUCAAAAACUAUUAAACUAGAGAAUGAUAUGGGCAACUGGAAUUCUGCAUGUAGGGGUAAAAUCCGUUGAUAUGCAGAGGAACACCAAAAGCGAAGGCAGGUUGCUGGGUCAUUUCUGACGCUGUUGCACGAAAGCGUGGGUAGCGAACAGGAUUAGAUACCCUGGUAGUCCACGCCGUAAACGAUGGAUACUCGAUUUAAGAGGGAAUCGACCCCCUCUUGAGUCCAAGCUAACGCGUUAAGUAUCCCGCCUGGGGAGUACGGUCGCAAGAUUAAAACUCAAAGGAAUAGACGGGGACCCACACAAGCGGUGGAGCAUGUGGUUUAAUUCGACACUAAACGGGGAACCUUACCAAGGCUUGACAUCUCCGGAACUUUACAGAAAUGUGAAGGUGCCGCAGGAACCGGAUGACAGGUGCUGCAUGGUCGUCGUCAGCUCGUGCCUUGAGUGUCGGUUAAGUCCGUAACGAGCGCACCCAUGUCCUGUGUGCUUUUCACGGAGACUGCCGGCUCCAGUCGAGGAGGUAGGAUGACGUCAAUCACUGCCCUAUGCCUGGCCAACUGCUCAUGGCAGUACAUGGCGCACCGUAGGGAGGAUCUAUCAACUGUCUCAUCGAUGAGCUCAUCUCUCAGAGUGGAUCCUGUACCAACAAAUGCCGUGAACGUCUGGCUUAUCCGCCGCAUUCUGAAGUGUACGAAUCCUAUCUCGGAGGCUAGUAACUCUGUGGAUAACUACAGGACCAUCACAGAAUCGGGCCGCGGUCAACAU
RNAcentral lists this ribosomal RNA (1446 nucleotides) under uncultured bacterium. RNAcentral describes it as "bacterial SSU rRNA". It matches the Rfam family "Bacterial small subunit ribosomal RNA", at positions 8 to 1310 of the family's 1533-position model. The record is from RNAcentral.